UCACUCCAAUUAAACUUUAGGCUCCAGUCAGACCUUCAGCCAAAUGGAAAAAAAAACUAGGGGAUAAGGGAGGUAGUUGGAGCAAGAAAAUGUUAUUAGUUGAAACCUUACGGGACCUUCCUCCCUUAGUGAGUCUGUUGGCUAAAGGUUCUCUGGCUUCGUGAAUUAGAAUCGGAUACUGUUUCCAAGUUAGCAAAACCAACUCUACCCCAGCACCCCACGAGGAAGAAUGUGGAAGGAUCUCCCAUUGGCCGGUUGGGGCAAAAGCCUGAGGCAAUCUUUCAUCCCCUUUUGCCAAGGCGAGACUUUCCCAGUGACGGUGAUGUAGUUGGCCACUCUGACUAUGGGUGGACUCGGGUGUAGACCUCUGAAGCUGAGAUCACACGAAAACCUGGCCUCCCCGCCAUGUAGCUGUUGGAGAGUAGAAAAAUAGAGCACGCCUGAUGUUUCUAAAUGAGAAGACUUUCAAUAGUAAUGAAGAAUCCAUGGCACUCUCCUCACCCUCAAACACAUGGCAGUCAUUCACAUACAGGCCCCAAAGCCACUGUUAGUGCUGCAGUAGCUCCUGUGGACAUUGGAAAGCCCGGAGAGGGCGUGGAAGAAAUCAGCUGGCCCCCGGCAGGUUCUCUGGGGUUUUGUGCCCAAGGCUCCUGGAGCCCUAAAAACUUUCAAAAGUUAACUCCCCACGUCCCCAUCCUGCUUGGGUUUCUGGACUUUUCUGAGGCACCGGCAGAGGGGUCUCGUUGCUCCCUUGAGUGUAGGGGCAGCCCUUUAACCUGGCUCCUUGAGUCCCUGCUUUUUCUGCUUCUGUUGCCUUCUUCCUCGUCUUCCUCUCUCUCAAUAUCUCCCUCUCUUUGUCCCUCCCCAGUUCCUGACCUGGCCAUCCCGGGGUGCCCUUGACCAGCCCCGUGUCUCCUCAGGGUGUCCCAGCACCAGCCUGGCACAGAGUGGGGCUCAGUUAGAGUAUGUGGGAUGUUGGUUUCGCCAGGUGAGUGAAUGAAAGGACUCGACCACCACAGCUGAGCCACUAGCUGGGCCAUGCGAAGAGUUCUAGGUGCAAAGGCUGGAGGGUGGAAUUCAUUUUUGAGAGGUGUGUGAGCAGCUUCCGACCCCUGCCCCAUUUGAACGGGGGCCUUGCUGGUCGCGUCCCUGCAUUCACCCGCGCGGCCAUCCCGUCAUCCAACAGUUGAUCCUAACUGAGCACGCCCACGGCCCUGGUCUGGCCUGGGCACCGGCCACCGUAGCCCAUCCCUUGAUGGCCUCUGUGUCCCCAGGAGGGCGGGCCGGGGGGUUGCCCAGGGGCUGGAGCAGUGGACUGUGGCUCCAUAGAGGUAGGCCGGAGGGUGUGAGGGCAGAUUCAAGCUAUCCCCAGGGCUCUGCUCUGGUCGGAGCCAGCCCCUUCUCCCUCUCUGCCUUCCCCGCCCCAUUCCUGAUGCUGAACUGUUCUGGACCCCUGGCCCUGAGUCUCUCAGGACCAAAGUGGGCACGGGAACAGCUGUAGUGUGUGCCCCCCCGGGCUUUGGCCACAGGUCUCCCUCUCGAGGUGUGGUUGUGACUGCGACCCUUCCCUUGCCGUGAUGCCUUCCUCCCCCGGGGCUUGGUCCAGCUCCUUCACUCUCUAGCAGCUGCUGGGGCCCACCUCCCAUGCCGAGGACCAGCAGGGGAAACCUCCAGGGAGCAUCUGCAGGCUCUGCUUCUGCCCGGCUGCUGGCUUGCUCUCCCUGGUGGCUCUCCAGCGGCCAGCUUCCUCACCCACCCGGCACUCCGCUUUGCUCUGUCUCCUGAGGUGGGCCUGACCAACCUCCCCUUCUCUGCCUCAGUCCCUGGGCUCCAGGGCUCAGCUCCACAGCCCUCUGCCUAGCAGGCUGGUUCUCCCUGCCAAGCCCAUACCUGUGGUCACCUGGCCCUCCUGUGGUCUGAGUACCACUCCCCUGCCCCAGGAGCCACUCCCACUCCAGCUGCCUGUUUCCAGCAGGUUCCCAGUGCCCCCGACAAGCCCCUGCUGGUGUCUCCAUCUCCUGCCAAGCAUCCUCCAGUGCCUCCUCCUGUGGGCCUGGCCUCAGGGCUAUGGACAGACUCCUGUCCCAUCCCAGAGACCCCUCGUGAUCGUGCCCUGGUGGGUGUUGCCCCCGCCUGCCUUUGCCUCCGCCGUGGCCCUGAGAGUCCUGGGCUCUGCCCCGCCCGGUCCCUUGCUCCCCACUCAGUUCUGGAUUUGGGGCUGCCCCUAACCCAGCCCGUUGCUGCUUUGCACCUUUUCCUGUCAUUGGGCAUCCCCCAGUAGUCACCCCACUCCACCGAAAAGUAAACUGCAGGCACGUGGGCCGUGGCCCGGCUGGGUCGGCUGAAGAACUGCGGAUGGAAGCUGCGGAAGAGGCCCUGAUGGGGCCCACCAUCCCGGACCCAAGUCUUCUUCCUGGCGGGCCUCUCGUCUCCUUCCUGGUUUGGGCGGAAGCCAUCACCUGGAUGCCUACGUGGGAAGGGACCUCGAAUGUGGGACCCCAGCCCCUCUCCAGCUCGAAAUCCCUCCACAGCCACGGGGACACCCUGCACCUAUUCCCACGGGACAGGCUGGACCCAGAGACUCUGGACCCGGGGCCUCCCCUUGAGUAGAGACCCGCCCUCUGACUGAUGGACGCCGCUGACCUGGGGUCAGACCCGUGGGCUGGACCCCUGCCCACCCCGCAGGAACCCUGAGGCCUAGGGGAGCUGUUGAGCCUUCAGUGUCUGCAUGUGGGAAGUGGGCUCCUUCACCUACCUCACAGGGCUGUUGUGAGGGGCGCUGUGAUGCGGUUCCAAAGCACAGGGCUUGGCGCACCCCACUGUGCUCUCAAUAAAUGUGUUUCCUGUCUUAAC
This 2853-nucleotide long non-coding RNA is filed under the name Homo sapiens (human). Its description in RNAcentral is "maternally expressed 3". The record is from RNAcentral. Lineage: Eukaryota; Metazoa; Chordata; Mammalia; Primates; Hominidae.